GAGUUUGAUCCUGGCUCANGAUGAACGCUAGCGGCAGGCCUAACACAUGCAAGUCGAGGGGUAACAUGAAUUGCUUGCAAUUUGAUGACNACCGGCGCACGGGUGCGCACCGCGUAUGGAACCUACCUUUUACAGGGGGAUAGCCCAGGGAAACUUGGAUUAAUACCCCGUAGUACCUUUUGUAGCAUUACAAGAUGGUUAAAGACUUCGGUCGGUAGAAGAUGGCCAUGCGUCCCAUUAGUUAGUUGGUAAGGUAACGGCUUACCAAGACAGCGAUGGGUAGGGGCCCUGAGAGGGGGAUCCCCCACACUGGUACUGAGACACAGACCAGACUCCUACGGGAGGCAGCAGUGAGGAAUAUUGGACAAUGGAGGAGACUCUGAUCCAGCCAUGCCGCGUGCAGGAAGAAUGCCCUAUGGGUAGUAAACUGCUUUUAUACGGGAAGAAAAAGGGGUACGUGUACCCCACUGACGGUACCGUAAGAAUAAGGACCGGCUAACUCCGUGCCAGCAGCCGCGGUAAUACGGAGGGUCCGAGCGUUAUCCGGAAUUAUUGGGUUUAAAGGGUCCGUAGGCGGGCGAUUAAGUCAGUGGUGAAAGUCUGCAGCUCAACUGUAGAACUGCCUUUGAUACUGAUCGUCUUGAGUUAUAGUGAAGUUGCCGGAAUAUGUAGUGUAGCGGUGAAAUGCAUAGAUAUUACAUAGAACACCGAUUGCGAAGGCAGGUGACUAACUAUAUACUGACGCUGAUG
This 750-nucleotide ribosomal RNA is filed under the name uncultured bacterium. RNAcentral's name for it is "bacterial SSU rRNA". It matches the Rfam family "Bacterial small subunit ribosomal RNA", at positions 9 to 751 of the family's 1533-position model. The record is from RNAcentral.